GGAUUAAAGGCGUGUACCACCACCGCCACCUGGCUCAUUGCUUCUUUUUUAAAAAUUGUGUAUUUACUUUAUUUAUGUGCUUUGUGUUGGCCUGCAUGACUUUGUGUGUACCACAUGCAUGCAGGAGCCCAAGGAGGAGAGAAGAAGAAAUUGAAUCACCUGGAAUUAGAGUUAACAGUCAGCUGUGAGCUGCCAUGUGGGUGCUGGCAAUCAAACCUGAGUCCUCUGCAAGAGCAGUGAAAAUUUUGGGCCAUCUCUCCAGCCUCUACAACCAGUACUUCCUGAAGCUUCACUGGAGGCGUUUUGGGGAAAUGGGGUGGAUAUGGAAUCCAAGGCCUCACCCUUACUAGACAAGUUACUAAUGCUGUGCACAGCAAAUCUAUUUUCUUCUGCUGAUCCAGGACUCUUAAUUCCUGAAAAGUCAUAAUGGAUAUUUGGAAGUCUCAGUGACAUUCUACUGAGUGAUUGAUGCCUGUGCUCAGUAAAGAAGUCCAGAUGGCGAUCACAUGGUCUCGGCGACAUUUUUUUCUUUUUGUAA
Peromyscus maniculatus bairdii (prairie deer mouse) is the source of this 538-nucleotide long non-coding RNA. RefSeq lists it as uncharacterized. Lineage: Eukaryota; Metazoa; Chordata; Mammalia; Rodentia; Cricetidae. The record is from RefSeq and is a predicted model, not a curated record.